UUAAAAGUAAAAUCCAAAGCAGAAACCAAAAUUAGAAAUUGAAGAGCCUAGAAAUAGGAAAGUGUAUAGUCUUCAUCUUAGUUGAACCCAAGCUGAAAUGUCGCGUCGUAGACAUAAUCGAAAAUGGUAGAUGAGCUAAAUGACCAAAAUAAUCAUCAGAUUCUUCAAGCACAUAGGUAAUGGGAUGAUAUUAUGUGGAUGCAAGCUGAAAAAGAUCAAAAAAAGAAAAGAAGUGCAGUUUGAAGACCUAGAGUAGAACAUAGCCCCAGUUACCGCGGUCACAGUCAAUCAAGCAGGUUCGGACACACAAUUCCCAAGCGCUCUUAGCCAGCUCGGUACCCAUCUUGGCAGCAGUAAUAGUACUAGAUCAUGGGUUAGCUUGGGGUCACUCUUUGCGGUAAGCAUCAUAUCGCGAUCAGGGGGUAGCUUCGGGUCGUGACAAAACAUGGUUCAGACGCUCAGUUCCCGGAUCACGCAUAGAUUUUCCAGAUUACCAGAUGUAGCAGCGGUGAGUCCUUAUAUUUCGAGGACAUGGUUUAUUAAUCUUAGCUAUCUCAUCAGUUUUAUUAUUUUUUUUAUUUAGUCAGAGUUAGUUGGGGGUUUGUCCCAUCAGCUCCACAGUCAGUCAUUAGAGGCUUUCUAGACUAGUACAGACAAUUAGUCAGUCUUCAAUUUUUAGUUGUUAUUGUCAGACAUUUUAUUAGUAUUAUCAGUAUUAUUUUGUAGACUUUAUCAGAACUAUGAUUUAAAACCUUAUGGCAUUCCUCAGUUAAAUUCUA
Molecule: long non-coding RNA, 779 nt
Organism: Capsicum annuum
Lineage: Eukaryota; Viridiplantae; Streptophyta; Magnoliopsida; Solanales; Solanaceae
Exons: 5
Source: RefSeq, a predicted model, not a curated record